This 497-nucleotide ribosomal RNA is filed under the name uncultured bacterium. Its description in RNAcentral is "partial 16S ribosomal RNA". It matches the Rfam family "Bacterial small subunit ribosomal RNA", at positions 28 to 507 of the family's 1533-position model. The record is from RNAcentral.
GACGAACGCUGGCGGCGUGCCUAAUACAUGCAAGUCGAGCGAUGAAGAUUGGUGCUUGCACCAAUUUGAAGAGCAGCGCACGGGUGAGUAACGCGUGGGGAAUCUGCCUUUGAGCGGGGGACAACAUUUGGAAACGAAUGCUAAUACCGCAUAACAACUUUAAACAUAAGUUUUAAGUUUGAAAGAUGCAAUUGCAUCACUCAAAGAUGAUCCCGCGUUGUAUUAGCUAGUUGGUGAGGUAAAGGCUCACCAAGGCGAUGAUACAUAGCCGACCUGAGAGGGUGGUUGGCCACCAUGGGACUGGGAACCGGCCCAAACUCCUUCGGGAGCGAGCAGUAGGGCUACUUCGGCAAGGGACGGAAGUCUGACCGAGCAACGCCGCGUGAGUGAAGAAGGAUUUCGGAUCGUAAAACUCUGUUGGUAGGGAAGAACGUUGGUGAGAGUGGAAAGCUCAUCGAGUGACGGUAACUACCCAGAAAGGGACGGCUAACUACGUG